AUAUCCAUGUAAUGUAUCUGAUUCGGAAAUUAAAGGGUAUAGUUAUAGUAUUAGACAUG
RNAcentral lists this small RNA (59 nucleotides) under Foraminifera environmental sample. Its description in RNAcentral is "partial Mitochondrion-encoded tmRNA". The record is from RNAcentral. Lineage: Eukaryota; Foraminifera.